Molecule: long non-coding RNA, 563 nt
Organism: Camelus dromedarius (Arabian camel)
Lineage: Eukaryota; Metazoa; Chordata; Mammalia; Artiodactyla; Camelidae
Exons: 2
Source: RefSeq, a predicted model, not a curated record
GCGGAGCGGCCGGGGCAGGCGGCCGCUGAGCCCCGGCCGAGCGCCCGCGGGCCUCACGGGGGGAAAGCGCCCGAACGAGCGAACGGGAGAGCUCGAACCGCGCCAACUUCGGCGGGUUCCAUGGCCCGGCGGGCCGCGUUAGGGGCGUUGGGCGCGGGCGCGCGGUGGGGGCGGGGAGCGGCGCCGUGCGCAUGCGCGCUCCGCUGUUCGGGCCGCGUGCGGUCGGAGGGCGAGUGGGCCGGGGUCACCUGGCGGCGCGGGCCUUGGGCGUGGGGGCCACCUGGUGGCGCGGGGCUCCGACGGGGUUCACCUGGUGGCGCGGGCCUCCUGGGUUGUGGGGCAGCCGAAGUCACCCAACUGGUAAGGCCAUCGGGAAAACAGGAAAACACCAUAUUCCCGUGUCGGUUUAUGAAGGCCUUGGAACAAACUGCGCAAACUGUAGUGGCAAAAGGUUGGGAGCCUAGGAUUUAUCCAAACAUGGAUCUUGGACCGAGGAAGAUACACCCAGAAGUCAGGAAUGUUCCUGUCAUCGAAUGUGAUACAUUAAAAUUUACAGUUUCAAA